CGGCGUUGUUAAGUCAGAUGUGAAAGCCCGGGGCGUUAACCUCGGAACUUGCAUUUGUAAACUAGGCAGGACUAGAGUCUUGUAGAGGGGGGUAGGAAUUUCAGGUGUAGCGGUGAAAUGCGUAGAGAUCUGAAGGAAUACCAGUGGCGAAGGCGGCCCCCUGGACAAAGACUGACGCUCAGAUGCGAAAGCGUGGGGAGCAAACAGGAUUAGAUACCCUGGUAG
This 225-nucleotide ribosomal RNA is filed under the name uncultured bacterium. RNAcentral describes it as "partial 16S ribosomal RNA". It matches the Rfam family "Bacterial small subunit ribosomal RNA", at positions 576 to 793 of the family's 1533-position model. The record is from RNAcentral.